GACGCGCAGUCGCCCUUGGAUCCAGACUUUGAUUCUGGCUCGGGAUGAACGCUAGCUACAGGCUUAACACAUGCAAGUCGAGGGGCAGCAUUUCAGUUUGCUUGCAAACUGGAGAUGGCGACCGGCGCACGGGUGAGUAACACGUAUCCAACCUGCCGAUAACUCGGGGAUAGCCUUUCGAAAGAAAGAUUAAUACCCGAUGGUAUAAUCAGACCGCAUGGUCUUGUUAUUAAAGAAUUUCGGUUAUCGAUGGGGAUGCGUUCCAUUAGGCAGUUGGUGAGGUAACGGCUCACCAAACCUUCGAUGGAUAGGGGUUCUGAGAGGAAGGUCCCCCACAUUGGAACUGAGACACGGUCCAAACUCCUACGGGAGGCAGCAGUGAGGAAUAUUGGUCAAUGGGCGCAGGCCUGAACCAGCCAAGUAGCGUGAAGGAUGACUGCCCUAUGGGUUGUAAACUUCUUUUAUAUGGGAAUAAAGUUUUCCACGUGUGGAAUUUUGUAUGUACCAUAUGAAUAAGGAUCGGCUAACUCCGUGCCAGCAGCCGCGGUAAUACGGAGGAUCCGAGCGUUAUCCGGAUUUAUUGGGUUUAAAGGGAGCGUAGGUGGACAGUUAAGUCAGUUGAGAAAGUUUGCGGCUCAACCGUAAAAUUGCAGUUGAUACUGGCUGUCUUGAGUACAGUAGAGGUGGGCGGAAUUCGUGGUGUAGCGGUGAAAUGCUUAGAUAUCACGAAGAACUCCGAUUGCGAAGGCAGCUCACUGGACUGCAACUGACACUGAUGCUCGAAAGUGUGGGUAUCAAACAGGAUUAGAUACCCUGGUAGUCCACACAGUAAACGAUGAAUACUCGCUGUUUGCGAUAUACAGUAAGCGGCCAAGCGAAAGCAUUAAGUAUUCCACCUGGGGAGUACGCCGGCAACGGUGCAACUCAAAGGAAUUGACGGAAGGGGGAAUUGGUUUAAACGU
This 962-nucleotide ribosomal RNA is filed under the name uncultured Bacteroidota bacterium. RNAcentral's name for it is "bacterial SSU rRNA". It matches the Rfam family "Bacterial small subunit ribosomal RNA", at positions 1 to 940 of the family's 1533-position model. Lineage: Bacteria; Pseudomonadati; Bacteroidota. The record is from RNAcentral.